GUGAGGAAUAUUGCACAAUGGGCGAAAGCCUGAUGCAGCAACGCCGCGUGAGUGAUGAAGGCCUUUGGGUCGUAAAACUCUGUCCUUGGGGAAGAAAAAAAUGACGGUACCCUUGGAGGAAGCCCCGGCUAACUACGUGCCAGCAGCCGCGGUAAUACGUAGGGGGCAAGCGUUAUCCGGAAUUAUUGGGCGUAAAGAGUGCGUAGGUGGCUUUGUAAGCGUAGGGUGAAAGGCAGUAGCUCAACUAUUGGUAGCCCUGCGAACUGUGAGACUUGAGUGCAGGAGAGGAAAGUGGAAUUCCUAGUGUAGCGGUGAAAUGCGUAGAUAUUAGGAGGAACACCAGUGGCGAAGGCGACUUUCUGGACUGUAACUGACACUGAGGCACGAAAGCGUGGGUAGCAAACAGGAUUAGAUACCCCAGUAGUCC
RNAcentral lists this ribosomal RNA (427 nucleotides) under uncultured bacterium. Its description in RNAcentral is "partial 16S ribosomal RNA". It matches the Rfam family "Bacterial small subunit ribosomal RNA", at positions 354 to 796 of the family's 1533-position model. The record is from RNAcentral.